GAUGAACGCUGGCGGCGUGCCUAAUACAUGCAAGUAGAACGCUGAAGCUUGGUGCUUGCACCGAGCGGAUGAGUUGCGAACGGGUGAGUAACGCGUAGGUAACCAGCCUCUUAGCGGGGGAUAACUAUUGGAAACGAUAGCUAAUACCGCAUAAAAGUCGAUAUCGCAUGAUAUUGAUUUGAAAGGUGCAAAUGCAUCACUAAGAGAUGGACCUGCGUUGUAUUAGCUAGUUGGUGAGGUAACGGCUCACCAAGGCGACGAUACAUAGCCGACCUGAGAGGGUGAUCGGCCACACUGGGACUGAGACACGGCCCAGACUCCUACGGGAGGCAGCAGUAGGGAAUCUUCGGCAAUGGGGGCAACCCUGACCGAGCAACGCCGCGUGAGUGAAGAAGGUUUUCGGAUCGUAAAGCUCUGUUGUAAGAGAAGAACGAGUGUGAGAGUGGAAAGUUCACACUGUGACGGUAACUUACCAGAAAGGGACGGCUAACUACGUG
This 497-nucleotide ribosomal RNA is filed under the name uncultured bacterium. RNAcentral's name for it is "partial 16S ribosomal RNA". It matches the Rfam family "Bacterial small subunit ribosomal RNA", at positions 28 to 507 of the family's 1533-position model. The record is from RNAcentral.